This 404-nucleotide ribosomal RNA is filed under the name Camaenidae sp. BL4. RNAcentral's name for it is "partial 16S ribosomal RNA". It matches the Rfam family "Bacterial large subunit ribosomal RNA", at positions 1808 to 2587 of the family's 2925-position model. Lineage: Eukaryota; Metazoa; Mollusca; Gastropoda; Stylommatophora; Camaenidae. The record is from RNAcentral.
CAAAAACAUAGCUGUGUGGUGUUACGCACAGUAUUUUCUGCUCAAUGAGAUGUUAAAUAGCCGCAGUACCCUGACUGUGCAAAGGUAGCGUAAUCAGUUGUCUUCUAAUUAAAGUCCCGUAUGAAAGAAUGUAUGGGGGCCCACUUUACCAAUGGUAGUAAAGGAAAUUGAUAAGUGAGUGCAAAUGCUCACGGUGUUAAGUAGACGAGAAGACCCUAGAAAUUUUUAAUCAUUCUUUUUGUUGGGGCAACAUAGUACCAAAUAAUUUACUUUAUGUAUAUGAAAUAGGUUAGGAAACACAAAUUACUCUAGGGAUAACAGCAUAAUUAAAGAUCGUUUGUGACCUCGAUGUUGGAUUAGGAAGUUAUAGCUUAAAAGGUUGUUAAUUCCGCUCUGUUCGAGCG